GACCUCGUCUCUCUUCUGCUUGUACCGGGGAAACGCGACGGCUGCCGAGAUCCGCGCCGCGAAGCCUCGCCGCCGCGUUCGACGAGGGAGCCAGUGCACGCAAGCAUAGCGGGAUCCGGGGAUGUUUGGGAUGCGCGCCAGCGGCGCGGCAACGCUGCGGGUGGUGGGGCGGGCGCGCACCUCCACGACGACCCGGACGAUGCCGCCGUCCCGGCGCUCCUCGACCCCCGCUUCGACGGCGAAAAGUUCGACGCGCCUAAGCACCUUCUCGCCCUCAUCUCUCCACGCAGUAUGUACAGAAGGCAAGAGCUUCAGAGAUGUGGUCAACGGAUCACCCCCCGUGUUCCCCUGUCUGACGGGUCGCUGUGGACCCGUGUGUCGAUGCCAAUUUUCAGGGACACAAACAUCAGAAAGGACAACAUGAGGCUGCUUAUCUUCUCAGGAACGGCCAAUCCUUCGCCCACCCAGGAAAUAGCAAGCUACAUCGGUCUAGAACUUGGGGAGAUUAACAUAAAAGUUUGCUGAUGGCGAAAUAUACGUUCAGUUGCAAGAAAGUGCAAGGGGAUGCCAUGUGUUCCUUAUGCAGCCAUCAUGUCCUCCAGCCUCAUGGAGCUACUCAUCAUGAUUGAUGCGUCUAGAAGAGCAUCUGCUAAGAAUAUUACUGCAGUUAUCCCUUAUUUCGGUUAUGCCAGGGCUGACAGGAAGGUAAUGAAUCUGAUUGGAGAUGUUAAGAGGAAAAGUGUUUGUUAUGAUGGAUGAUAUGAUUGAUACAGCAGGUAAGUUAUCCCAUUUAAGUUGUAGGAAACAUAAUUCUAAGAUUGACCUUCUUACAGAGGGGCAGUUGAGCCAUGAUUUAAACAAUGAUUAAACGCAGAAACUAAAUAUUAUAUAGUUAGUUAAUUUUAUUUAAUAAGGUGUGGAUACAAGUCAUAUGACUUGCAAUAUAGUUUAAACCUGGAAACAUGCUGAAGUGCUCCACAUUCAUGUUUGACAACUGAGAAAGUAAAUUACAACAUCUUGUUGCAUACCAAAAGUAGCUACCUUUUGACAAUCUUUGCUUCUGAAUAUGAAUAUCCAAGACUAUCACAAUUAAAUUAGGAACUAUUGCCAAAGGAGAUGAGCUGCUGCACCAAGGAGCAAGAGAAGUCUAUGCGUGCUGUACACAUGCUGCUUAGCCCACCCGCCAUCAAGAGAUUAUCAAAUGGUUUGUUUCAAGAAGUAAUCAUCACAAACACUAUCCCUUUGAAGAAGCAUUGAAGACUUUGCUGAGCGAGGCAAGCAACCUACUUUGAUCAUGUUGAGCCCGUAUUUGCAUUACACACUUAAAAAUUAUUUUGCAUGCAUAAAGUAUUGUUUACUAGUAUUGCUAUGCUAAGUAAAUUAGCUAGGGUUUAGCUAUGCUCUAUGUGCUUGAUAUUAACACCCCCUUUGACAUUCUUAAUACCCCUCCUUUCUAACCAGCGGACUACAUACCCACUGGUCACAAAUAAAUGUGGGUCAUAGGUGCAAGUUUAAUAGUGCUUGCCAUGCAAGUCAUAUAAAUCCUAGGACUUGGGAAGAAUCUUAGCACAUUACCCCAAUAUGGGAUGAGACUGAGCUUAGUACCUUGGUCUGUCUAGUGUAGAGCCCUCGCUAGGUGGAUACCCUAUACACCGUGACGAGUGUGGACAAAUAUCAAUCAUGGGAAACUAUGUACCAUCAGGUGGACUCUGUACUUGCAUCGUUCUUGAGAAAAGUUUUGUUCAAUUGUUCAAGGUGUAUAGACCUAUCACCAAGAGACCUUCAAGAUGCAAAGGCUUGCAUCUUCAAUUGUACAAAGUGCAACUUAGUCAGAGUUUCUCCUUUCUCAAGCUUAAGCCUUUCUCUAGACCAAAUCUAUCUCAAGAAACCCAGCCUAGCUAUCAAGGGUGUGAUAGCAUGGACUUAUAUCAAUGUACUUAUGGAAUUGCAAGAGGACCCGUUAAGCACCAACAACUUUCGAUUGGAAUGAAGCCCUACAUGAGAUUGUGAUUUUGUGAGUCAAUCAUGUGGUGAUGUAGAAGUGAUGUUGAGGAGAUAAUAGUCAAAGAUGUACGGUGGAUUAUGAGAUUUUAGGGCUAGCAGGUGAGCAUGACGAUUAUUAUAUUGAUGGAUAACAUAUCUUUAAUUAAUCUUAAAAAAAUUAGAUUUAGUUUGGUGAUUGUGAUCUUGAAGCAAAUUUCACGGCGGAUUAUGAGAUUUCAUGUGGAUUUAGUUAGGUGAUUGUUAUCUUGAGGAGAUAGUUAAAAAUGUUCGAUGCAUUGUGAGAUUUUAGAGCUAGUAGGUGAGCAUGAUGAUUAUUAUAUUGUUGGAUAAACAUAUAUUUAAUUAAUUCGUGAACAAUUUGGCUUUAGUUAGGUGAUUGUGAUCUUUAACUAAAUUUCAUGGUGAUUAUGGGAUUUUAGUCUACUACGUGAGCAUGGUGAUUAUUCUAUUGUUGAAUAACGAAUCUUCAAUUAAUAUUACAAUAAUGUAUUUUGUAAAGUGAUUGUGAUUUUGAACCAAAUUUUACGGAGCAUUAUGAGAUUUUAGGUGGAUUUAGUUACGUGAUUGUGCUCUUGAGGAGAUAGUCAAAGAUGUUUGGUGGAUUAUGAGAUUUUAGGGCUAGUCGGUGAGCAUGAUGACUAUUAUAUUUGUGGAUAAAUAAAUCUUUUAUUAAUAUUAAAGCAAUAUAAAUUUAGUUUGAUGCUUGUGAUUUUGAACCAAAUUUCAUGGUGGAUUAUGAUAUCUUAGCUUGGAUUUAGUUAGAUGACUGUCGUCUUGAGAAGAUGGUCAAAGAUGUUUGGUGGAUUAUGAGAUAUGUAGUCUAGUAUGAGCAUGGCUAUAUUAUAUUGGUUGAUAAACAUAUCUUCCAUUAAUCUUGGAACAAUUUGGAUUUAGUUAGGUGAUUGUCAUCUUGAAGCAAAUUUGACGAUGGAUUAUGAGUUUUUGUGGCUCUACUUAGUUGAUUGUGAUCUUGUGGAGAUAGUCAAAGAUUUUUGGUGGAUUAUGAGAUUUUAGGUCUAGUAUGAGCAUGACCACUAUUAUAUUGAUGAAUAAACAUAUUUUCAAUUAAUCUUGGAUUAAUUUGGAUUUUAUAGGAUUUGGAUCUUGAAGAAAAUUCGACGAUGAAUUAUGGAUUUAAUUAGGUGCUUGUGAUCUUGAGGAGAUAGUAAAAAAUGUUCGGUGGAUUAUGUGAUUUUAGGUCUAGUACUUGAGAAUGGUGAUUAUUUUAUUGGUGGAUAAACAGAUCUUCAAUUAAUCUUGGAACACUUUAGAUUUAGUUAGGUGAUUGUGAUUUUGAACCAAAUUUCACAAUGGAUUAUGAUAUCUUAGCCUGGAUUUAAUUAGGUGAUUGUCAUCAUGAGAAGAUAGUCAAAUAUGGUCCAUGGAUGAUGAGAUUUUAGAUAUGGUAUGGGCAUUUCUACUACUAUAUGAAUAAAUAAACACAUCUUCAGUUAAUCUUGGAACAAUUCGGAUUUAUUUAGGUGAUUGUCAUCUUGAAGCAAAUUUGAUGAUAGAUUAUGAGGUUUUGAUGGAUUUAAUUAGGUGAUUGUGAUCUUGAGUAGAUAGACAGAGAUGUUCGGUGGAUUAUGAGGAUCACAUGACUACUACUAUAUUGGUUGAUAAACAUAUUUUUAAUUAAUCAUGAUUUUUUUGGAUUUAGUUAGGUGAUUGUGAUCUUGAAGCAAAUUUGAUGAUGGAUUAUAUGUUUUUGAUAAAUCUAAUUAUGUGAUUGUGAUUUUGAGGACAUGUUAAAAAAUCUUUGGUGGAUUAUGAGAUUUUAGGUCUAGUAUGUGAGAAUGCUUGAUUAUAUUGGUGGAUAAACAGAUUUUCAAUUAAUUUUGAAACACUAUGGAUUUAGUUAAGGGUGGCAGCCAGAUAGACAAGACUCCCAAGGAGAUGAUGAUAAUGCAUUAGAUUAGACAAAGGUUCACCAUCAGCAGCACGGAGGUGAACAUUGAGCUCCAUGGAAAUCUCAACAGUGUGCUCAUCAGUAAGAGCAACAAGAGCAAGAAGAUCUUCGAAUAUUAAUUUUGAGCAAGAAGAGACCCGAAACUCAAGAAAGUAGCAAAGAGGGCCAACAUCAGACAUAAGAAACUCCUUACUAAGACGUGGCGUCAUCACAAAGGGAAUAUACUCAGGGUCUUUGCCGGUGAUGAACAUAUAAAAGAAGACUGCUACGAAGAGCAGAAAGGUGGACAAACAACGUAGGAUCAUGAGCACUCGCUGAAAACCAGCGGCAACCACCCUAGAGGCAAAACACUCAAACUAGGCGCAAGGGGCUUGCUUAAAGACAGAGAGAGCGAUGAAGACAACGAAGCAUGUCGUCAGGAGCAGAAUACCCAGAUGAUGGUUGCAUGUAAACCUCCUCAUGCAGCUCACCAUCAAGAAAUGCAUUCUGAACAUCAAGUCGAGACAGACCCGUGGCCAAUAGAGGCCACAACAAGAAGUGUGCGAGCAGUGGUCAUAUGGUUUGCACGAGCAAAAAGUCUCAUUGUAAUCAGGACUCAUAAUCAGGACCAUACUCUUGCUGAAAGCUAUGAGCCACAAGAUGAGAACGCUCAAGAGAACUAUCAGAGUGAGUCAUAACAUUGUAGACCCACCAAGUGAUGGGACGAACAUGAGGAAGUGAAACAAUAUCCCACUUGUCGAUGCGCUCAAGAGCAACAAUCUCCUCUGCUAUUGCAAGGUGCCACUUCGUAUGAACAUCACGAUAAGAAGUCGGCUCAAGAACAACAGCGCCAACGCUUGGAAGACCAAGGCGGUCAACAGGCGGAAGCGGACGAGGAAGCAAGCCAUAUGUAGGCCGAGGCGGGGAAGAUGGCACAUCAGUAGACGCAUCCACAACAUGCGGAUGAUGUGUAUAAAAGUGAGGAAAAGAUGGAAGAAUACGAGCUGGAAUCAUCGGGAUAAACUAAUGUGAUGGAGACAAGGAAGCCACCGGUGAUGAUGGUGUAGAAUCCUGUGAUAAGCGAGGUGAGGAAAUCAUAGGAGAUGAUGGCGUUGGAUCUACAAUAAUUGGAGAAGCAGGAGUAGUACGCUGAAUGGAUAAGGGCUCAACAUGAGUGAUAUGAGUGUCAGGAAAAUUGGAAAGAGUCCACUGAAAAGGUCGAGGAAGAUGGACGUGGGUAGUAGGAAAGACUCAUCAAAAGUCAUAUCCCGAGAAAUAGGCAUCCGGUGACCAACUUGAUCCCAAUAGUGAUAUCCCUUAUGCUCAUCGUUGUAUCCUAAUAAGACACAUGCAACAGACUGAGUAGUCAGUUUGGUGCGUUCACGUGGGCCAAGGACAUAGCAAACGUAACAAAACAAUCGAAGCGCUGAAUAAUCAGGAAAUGAUCAAAUACAUGCUCGAAAGUCAUGCUACCCUGCAGAGCAGUGGAUUUGGAUUGUUGAAGGUUUAUGAGAUAGAUGGAAGUGGAGACAGACUCGGCUCAAAAGUGCGAUGGAAGAGAGGCAGUGACCAUCAAUGGACGAGCCGUCUCAAGAAGGUGACGAUGCUUGCACUCAGCCACACCAUUCUGAGCAUGUGCACCUGGAUAAGAGAACCGAAUGCAAGAGUACCCUGCUCAGCAAGGAUUCCACGCAACAACUUGGGAGAUAUACUCUCCACCAUAGUCAUCACAGAACACACAAAUAGGUGUAGAUAACUGAGUAUGAACCAUGGCAGCAAAACGCUUAUAGAUAAGACCUCACUACGAGAAGAAAUAAAGUAUAUCCAGGUGUGUCGAGAGAAGUCACUAGUGAUGACCUCCUUUCGAGGCAAAGGGAGAUGGACCCCUGACAUCAGAGUGAACAAGGUCGAAAGGACGCUGAGACACUAUCUCGCUAUGAGUAUAAGGUAAUUGGACAUUUUUACAUAGCCGACAACCUUGAUGGUUUAGAGACAUCAUCGGAGACGAAUCCAAGAAGACCACGUCAAACUAAGGAUGAGAGAUCACAACUUCACAAGUGACGAUGAUGCCACUACUGAAAAUAGUUGGUAGACGAGGCAACAGAGGUAGAGACUGGCGGCGAUGGCAACAGAGGGACUUGAUCCAGCAUCCCACGUGCCUGUGCACUCUCCGUACCCUGCCAAUCCUGAUUGGUGUUCUUCUCCUGUUUGCGGGUUGUGGGUCACGCACUUGAUUAAGCACCCCAGGUUCUCCUACUGUGCGCCCUUGGCCCCGGCUUUAGGUAGCGCCUGUCCUCGGCUCGUCCCGUGCAUAAACCAGGUAUGCACCGACUGUCCAAGCUCCUGCUCACCAUUGGUGGUGCUCGAGCGUGUGGUUAUGGUGUCACACAAUAAGGGAACAUGGGAUGUGGGAUUGAGACAGCACCCAUAGCAACCCGUAGGAAGGCAAAUGAUUCCCAUCCAGACUGGCAGAGAACGAAGCUAGACACAAAGGUGGAUGUUGACUUCAUAGGAGUCUCAAUAGUGCGCUCAUCAGUAAGAGCAGCACGAGCAAGAUCUCAAGGAAGUAGCAAAGAGGACCAAGAUCAUACAUAAGUUCACUAUGACGAGCCUUCACAAAGAUAAUGUACUUAGAGUCAUCGCUAGUGAUGAUUGACAUGCAGAAGUGUUCGACUACAAGUUGAAUGGUGGACCGAAAUUAAGUGUAGGAAAUAAAGAAGCCAUUAGAGGUAGAAGAAACCUCAAUCUCAAGGAAGUAGUGAAGAGGACCAAGAUAAUACAUAAGAAAUUCACUAUGAUGAUCCUUCACAAAGGCAAUGUACUUCGAGUCGUCGCCAGUGAUGAUCGACAUGUAGAAGUGUUCGACCACAAGUUGAAUGGUGGACCAAAAAAGUAGGAUCAUGAGCACUCGCCAAAAACUAGCCGCAAUCACCAUAUUGAUGGAUAAACAUAUCUUUCGUUAAUUUUAGAACAAUUUUGAUUUAGUUAGGUGAUUAUCACCUUGAUGCAAAUUUGACGAUGGAUUAUGAGUUUUUGGUGGAUCUACUUAGGUGAUUGUGAUCAUGUGGAGAUAGUCAAAGCUGUUCGGUGGAUUAUGAAGUUUUGGGUCUAGUAUGAGCAUGACUACUAUUAUAUUGGUGGAUAAUCAUAUUUUCAGUUAAUCUUGAAAUAAUUUGAAUUUAGGUAGGUGAUUGUGAUCUUGAAGCAAAUUUGCCGGUGGAUUUAGUUAGGCGAUUGUGAUCUUGAGGAGAUAGUCAAAUAUGUUUGGUGGAUUAUGAGAUUUUUGGUCUAGUAUGAGCAUGCCUACUAUUUAUGUUGGUGGAUAAACAUAUCUUUAAUUAAUGUUGAAAAAGAACUUCGAUUUAGUUUGGUGAUUAUCAUCUUGAAACAAAUUUGACAAUGGUUUAUGAGUUUUUAGUGGAUUUAGUUAGGUCGCUGUGAUUUUGAGGAGAUAGUCAAAGAUGUUCAGUGGAUUAUGAGAUUUUAGGGUUUGUAUGAGCAUGACUACUUUUAUGUUGGUCGAUAAACAUAUCUUCAAUUAAUAUUGGAACAACUUGGAUUUAGUUAGGUAAUUAUCAUCUUGAAGCAAAUUUGAUGAUGGUUUAUGAGUUUUUAGUGGAUUUAGUUAGGUCUUUGUGGUUUUGAGAAGAUAUUCAAAGAGGUUUGGUGGAUUAUGUGUUUUUGGUGGAUUUAGUUUGGUGAUUGUGAUCUUGAGGAGAUAGUUAAAGAUGUUCGGUGGAUUAUGAGAUUUUAAGUCUAGUAUGAGCAUGGCUAUAUUAUAUUGGUUGAUUAACAUAUCUUUCGUUAAUCGUGGAACAAUCUGGAUUUUAGUUAGGUGAUUGUCAUCUUGAAGCAAAUUUGACGAUGGAUUAUGAGUUUUUAGUCAAAGAUGUUCUGUGGAUUAUGAGAUUUUAGGUCUAGUGAGCAUCACUACAAUUAUGAGCCUGUUUGGGACUGCUCUACUCCUUAGAAUUCAGCUCGCUCCGAAAAACAUAAGCCAAACGGGAUAGCUCCACGAUAUGCCGCUCCGCAAGAAAACUAGAAUAUGGGGUACAAUUCCUAGUUUUUAUGAAGCUCUUCAGGGGGUGCUUCAGAAAACUCUAGAAGCUGGAGUUGGGUGGAAAUUACCCACCACUACCACUAGUAAGUGGAUACCCCUUUGUCGUUUGUCCCCCCUCAACCAAUCAAGUAGACCCUUUCCACCAAAUUUCUCAUUCUUGAAGCUGGAGCUAGAUGGAAGCCAAACAUUCUCUUUGGUAGUGCUACAACUUCUGGAUGAAACUGCUCCAAAGUGAAUUUAGUGGAGCAAAACUGAUUUUGGUGAAGUGGAGCAUUCCCAAACAGGCCCUAUAUUGGUGGAUAAACAUAUUUUCAAUAAUCUUGGAAUAAUUAGGAUUUAGUCAUGUGAUUUUGAUCUUGAAACAAAUUUGACAAUGUAUCAUGAGUUUUUGAUGGAUUUAAUUAGGUGAUUGUGAUCUUGAGGAGAUAUUCGAAAAUGUUCGGCGAAUUAUGAGAUUUUAGGUCUAGUACGUGAGAAUGGUGAUUAUUGUAUUGGUGGAUAAACACAAUAAAUCUUGGAGCACUUUGGAUUUAGUUAGGUGAUUGUGAUUUUUAAACCAAAUUUCACGAUGGAUUAUGAUAUCUUAGCCUAGAUUUAGUUAGGUGAUUCUCAUCUUGAGAAGAUAAUCAAAGUUGUUCCAUGAAUAAUGUGAUCUUAGUUAUAAUAUAAGCAUGUCUGCUAUUAUAUGAAUAAGUAAAACAUAUCUUCAGUUAAUCUUGGGACAAUUUGGAUUUAUUUAGAUGAUUGCCAUCUUGAAGCAAAUUUGAUGAUGGAUUAUGAGGUUUUGAUGGAUUUAGUUAGGUGAUUGUGAUCUCGAGUAGAUAGACAAAGAUGUUCGGUGGAUUAUGAGGUUUUAGGACUAGCAUGAGCUUGACUAGUACUAUAGUGGUUGAUAAACAUACUUUCAAUUAGUCUUGGAUUUUUUGGAUUUAGUAAAGUGAUUGUGAUCUUGAAGCAAAUUUGACGAUGGAUUAUGAGUUUUGAUGGAUUUAAGUACAUGGUUGUGAUUUUGAGGAGAUGGUCAAAAAUGUUCGGUGGAUUAUGAGAUUUUAGGUCUAGUACAUGAGAAUGGUGAUUAUUUUGGUGGAUAAACAGAUUUUCAAUUAAUUUUGGAACACUUUGGAUUUAGUUAAGAGAUAGUCAAAGAUAUUUGGUGGAUUAUGAGUUUUUGGUGGAUUUAGUUCGGUGAUUGUGAUCUUUAGGAGAUAGUUAAAGAUGUUCGAUGGAUUAUGAGAUUAUAAGUCUAGUAUGAGCAUGGCUAUAUUAUAUGGGUUGAUAAACAUAUCUUUUGUUAUUCUUGGAACAAUUUGGAUUUAGUUAGGUGAUUGUCAUCUUUAAGAAAAUUUGACGAUGGAUUAUGAGUUUUUGGUGGAUCUACUUAGAUGAUUGUAAUCCCGAGGAGAUAGUCAAAGAUGUUAGGUGGAUUAUGAGAUUUUAGGUCUAGUAUGAGCGUGACUACUAUUAUAUUGGUGGAUAAACAUAUUUUCAAUUAAUCUUGAAAUAAUUUGGAUUUACUUACGUGAUUUUGAUCUUGGAGCAAAUUCGACGAUAGAUUAUAAGUUUUUGAUGGACUUAAUUAGGUGAUUGUGAUCUUGAGGAGAUAGUAAAAAAUGUUUGGUGGAUUAUGAGAUUUGAUUAUUUUGUUGGAGGAUAAACAGUUUUUGAGAUUUGAUUUAAUUAAUCCUGAAACAAUUUGGAUUUAGUUAGGUGAAUGUGAUCUCGAACCCAAUUUCAUGGUGGAUUAUGAGAUUUUGGAUUUAAUACGUGAGAAUGACGAUUAUAAACAUAUCUCCAGUUAAUCUUGGAACGUUUUGAUUUAGUUAGGACAUUGUGAUCUUUAAGCAAAUUUGUUAGUGAAUUAUGAUAUUUUAGGUGGAUUUAGUUACGUGAUUGUGAUCUUGGGGAGAUAGUCAAAGAUGGUUGAUGGAUUAUGACAUUUUAGGUCUAGUAUGAGCAUGACUACUAUUAUAUUGGUGGAUAAACAUAUAUUCAAAUAAUUUGGAUCAUUUUGGAUUUAGUCAGGUGAUUGAUCUUGAAGCAAAUUUGAUGAUGGAUUAUAAGUUUUUGGUGGAUUUAGUUAGGUGAUUGUGGUCUGGAGGAGUUGUCUAAAAUAUUCUGUGGACAAUGAGAUUGUAGGUCUAGUACGUGAGCAUUGUGAUUAUUAUAUUGAUGGAUAAACAUAACUUAAAUUAAUCUUGGAACACUUUGGAUUUAGUUAGGUGAUUGUGUUCGGUGGAUUAUGAGAUUUUAGGUCUAGUACUUGAGCAUGGUGAUCAUUAUAUUGGUGGAUAGACAAAUCUUCAAUUAAUUUUGGAACACAUUGGUUUUAGUUACGUGAUUGUAAUCUUGAAGCAGAUUUAUCGGUGAAUGAGAUUUUAGGUGGAUUUAGUUAGGUGAUUGUGAUCAUGAGAAGAUAGUCAAAGAUGUUUAGUAGAUUAUGAGAUUUUAAGCCUAUUAGGUGAGCAUGGUGAUUAUUAUAUUACUGAAUAAACAAAUCUUCAAGCAAUUUUGCAACAAUUUAUAUUCAGUUAGGUGCUUGUGAUUUUGAAGAAAAAUGCACGGUGAAUUACAAAAUUUUAGGUUGAUUUAGGUAGGUGAUUAUAAUCUUGAGAAGAUGUUAGGUGGAUUAUGAGUUUUUAGGGCUAAUAGGUGAGCAUGAUGAUUAUUGUAUUAUUGGAUAAACAAAUAUUUAGUUAAUCUUGGAACAAUUUAGAUUUUGUUAGGUGAUUGUGAUCUUCAACUAAAUUUCAUGGUGGAUUAUAAGAUUGUAGGUGGAUUUAAUUAGGUGAUUGUGCUAUUGAGCAGACAGCCAAAGAUGUUUGGUGUAUUAUGUGAUUUUAGGUUAGUAUGGGCACACCUACUUUUAUAUUGGUAGAUUAACAUAUCUUCAAUAAAUCUUGGAAGAGUUUGGAUUUGCUUAUGUGAUUGUGAUCUUGAAGAAAAUUUGACGACGAAUUACGUGUUUUUGGUGGAUUUAGUUUGUAGAUUGUGAUCUUGAGGAGAUAGUUAAAGAUCUUCGGUGGAUUAUGAGAUUUUAAGUCUAGUAUGAGCAUGGCUACUAUUAUAUUGGUGGAUAAACAUAUUUUUUAGUUAAUCUUGAAAUAAUUUGGAUUUAGUUAGGUGAUUUUGAUGUUGAAGCAAAUUUUAUGAUGGAUUAUGAGUUUUUGAUCGAUUUUAUUAGUUGAUUGUGAUGUUGUGGAGAUAGUAAAAAAUGUUUGGUGGAUUAUGAGAUUUGAUUAUUUAUUGGUGGAUAAACAGUAUUUUAAUUAAUUUUUGAGGAAUUUGGAUUCAGUUAGGUGAUUAUGAUAUUGGACCCAAUUUCACGAUGGAUUAUGAGAUUUUAGCUGGAUUCAGUUAGGUAAUUGUGGUCUUGAGGAGAUAGUCAAAGAUGUUUGGUGGAUUAUGAGAUUUUAGGCCUACACCUAGUUUCAAUGGAUAUGCUGGCGACCUUCAGCAUUGACCUCGCUUCCGGCUUAUGCUGACGUCCCAGUUGUGAGAUUCUGAGCACUUCAAAGCCGCCUUGGCAAAGCACCAUCGUUGCGGAAGGUCCCGUAUUGAGAACACGAUACAGCGUUAUGUGAAGUCCAAGGCUGAUUGGUGGACAAAUGUCAUGAGCGUAUCCGGCGUGGUGCUACAGUUGGCAAGACAGUCUGCCGCCAAAAUCUUGUAAGGUUAACUCAUUUGUGGCUGAAGGCAGAACAAGAGAGGCAACACAACUACUUGAAAGAUGGGCCAUAUGUGACACCUGAAGAAGCAGUUGCUAUUUAUCCAACUAUUUCCCGUGCACAUCUUUGGCACAAGGUCCAUGAAAGUGUUGCUAUGGAUCUUUGCCAACUUCUGGGUCAGGAGUUGGCUGCGCUGGAGAUUGAGAUAGUACAGAAGGAGACAAUACAUCCAAGGAAGAGUUGCAAGAUGAACAGUUCAUGCGCAGAUGUCCUUUUUGCUGCACAUAGGUGGCAGAUGUCCAAACCAAGCUUAGUUUUUGAGUCAAAGGAUGUCUUCAAUCAGAAAGCCAGUAACAAGCACUGGAUUGAUGUGCAACCAAGAUGGAGAGACUACGAUUCACACGACAUAGAACGUUACGCAAGAGCAAAAUUUAUGGACUACACGGCAGAUAAUUUGUCCAUCUACCGUUUUUUGACUGGGGUGAUGAUUGGACUUGAUCUACUCCCUCCGUUCCAUAUUACUUGUCGCUGAUUUAGUACAACAGCGACGAGUAAUAUGGAACGGAGGGAGUAGCUUAUAAUUUGCUCUCUGCUUUUGGUAAUUGGUUCCCCGGGUCAAAGCCCCUCCUUCAGCAAGCAGUGAACAAGAUCAUGAAGUCAAAUCCUGCUCUGUAUGUGCCGAGGGAGAGAAUAGGAAAGGGUCUUCAGUUGUAUUCAUCUGAACCCACCGCCCACCGAGCCAUAUCCGUCUUCACAGAACUACAGUACGGAGAGAUAUUCAGCAAUCAAAUCAUAUGGUUUGUGGAUGACACAAAUGUCUAUCGAGUUACCAUUCACAAAACCGAGGGUAACCUGACGGCCAAACCAAUCAAUGGUGUUAUCUUUAUUUUCAAUCCAAGAACUGGUCAACCAACUAUUUCUGAAGGUCAUCCACACAAGUGUAUGGGCAGGACAAAGCAAAUUAUUGUGACAAGGAAGGGAUUUGGCGUGACAUGCUAAAAUUUUGGAGAAGAACAAGGCGUGGCAUGGUGAAAAGUCCAUCAUUUUGACCUGCCGGUGAACAUCAUGGGUCAGUGGUUAUGUUUGUGAGAAGAGAAAAACCUAUCGUGGUCAGUGGUUAUCACUUUUCAAACUGAAUCGUUAUUGUCAAGUGGAUGGUUUGCUUGGUGUUAUCAUCCUUGUCUGGUUGAUUCUUUAUGAUUUGUGCUGCUUUGUUGAAGCUUGUUGUGUUAUGUUCAUCUGGUUGCUCUUCUUAAGAUUGGAGCACUUGCAGAUUUCUGUUGCUAGAUUAAGUUUACUAUGUCGGUCAGUGUUUGGUUAUAUAUGUUUUUGUCAGUCAGUUUUGUGCCAGAGAGCAAAUCAGUUGUUCUGGACCUGGUCAAACCUCAGCUAUUUCUUGAGCCAGUUCUGGGAUGGUGACCCCUUGAGGAGUCUGGUCAAAGCAAGCCAGCAGCAUGAACAUUACUACUGUAACCAUCUUUGCACUGACGAUGAUGGCUCACCUGUUGGAUCAUAUCAAUAUGAGCCUCCUGAUCUUAUGCACAACCCUUCACGACACAUGACUGGCUUUGCUGUUCCUAGUCUCGUUGCGUCCGUCCGUCCCAUGGAAAUCAACACCUGACAGCAAUAGUAGUGGAUGUUUCUUCUUCCUUGUGACUAGAGUUGUUUUGACAGUAACUCUGAUUAUGAGGUAAUGAAUGGUUUCACAUCAUUAUAUAUCUUGCGGAUACUUUGAGCGCCUCAAAGCAUUGGUUUGUCAAUAUAUUACUAUUAGGCAUGCAAAUGUACCAGAUUAAGUAAGGGAAAGGAAGGCAACGGACCUCAAAAUUAUGCUGAAAAAUCUGUGUUGGUCCCAAGCAAAACGUUGUACAAAAAUGCAGUAGAAGUUGCGGGCAUGUCAAACAAGUGAUUUUAUUUGAUUUGCAGCAAAAGACUGGAAGGAAUUGUUCCUGGAGAACUUGGAAUAAGUGAUGGUAACUAAGAAUUAUAUCACGCUAAAAAAAUGAAGAAUUAUAUCAGUAACUGUAAUUGUCCUGGGAUGAUAAGCAGUUGCACUGUUGCCUCAGCUAUUGUUUCUGUUUCCGUGAAGCAUUUUAAUAUUCACAUUCAAAAUUCAGAUAUAUAAUUACGCUGCAGAGACUGUCUUCUCAGUUUCGGAAUGCAAGCAGUGUAGCUAGCCCACUGAAAUCUAGAAGCAUUUUAAUAUCAAUGUAGCUUAUUUUUGUGUGUGCUGUAUUAGUGCACUGUGACUUAAAUAAGAAUUUGGGGAAAUAUUGUUACGCUCCUAGUAAACUUGUGUACUUUCUGUUAAUAAUAUCGAGAAAGUUCGUUCGUUUUCUGGUUAAUCAUGGCAGUGUCGUCCAUGUUCACCGUCAGUUGGCUCGUAACUGUGUACUACAUCCAUUUUAGCGAUAAGUAAUCCCGAGCGGAGGAAGUAGUUAAUUUUUCGCCCACAUCUAGUAGAAGAUCGAUGCCCCAUGCUGGCCAUCCGAGUAAUUUUUUUUGGAGUCUGCUAUUUGCUCCAUGCUGGCAAGAAUUGGAUCACGUCGCCCCUUGUUUUCUGAAAUUUUCCCAAUGACACGAGUUUCUUGUUGGUAAUUCAAUAAAACAAUCCAUUAUUAUGUGACCUGAUUUCAUAGAGGGAAUGAGGAUCACUUUAUUUCCUAACAAAUAGUAACAAUUACAGU
This is a long non-coding RNA of Triticum aestivum (bread wheat), 14304 nucleotides long. RefSeq lists it as uncharacterized. The transcript has 9 exons. Lineage: Eukaryota; Viridiplantae; Streptophyta; Magnoliopsida; Poales; Poaceae. The record is from RefSeq and is a predicted model, not a curated record.